This 889-nucleotide ribosomal RNA is filed under the name uncultured bacterium. Its description in RNAcentral is "bacterial SSU rRNA". It matches the Rfam family "Bacterial small subunit ribosomal RNA", at positions 505 to 1397 of the family's 1533-position model. The record is from RNAcentral.
GUGCCAGCAGCCGCGGUAAUACGGAGGAUGCGAGCGUUAUCCGGAUUUAUUGGGUUUAAAGGGUGCGUAGGCGGACGUUCAAGUCGGCGGUCAAAUGGGCGGGCUCAACCCGUUCUCGCCGUCGAAACUGGGCGACUGGAGUGGGAGAGAGGCAUGCGGAAUGCGCGGUGUAGCGGUGAAAUGCAUAGAUAUCGCGCAGAACUCCGAUCGCGAAGGCAGCGUGCCGGCUCCUUACUGACGCUGAAGCACGAAAGCGUGGGGAUCGAACAGGAUUAGAUACCCUGGUAGUCCACGCAGUAAACGAUGAGCACUAGGUGUGCGGCCGGUCAGGCUGCGUGCCACAGCGAAAGCGUUAAGUGCUCCACCUGGGGAGUACGCCGGCAACGGUGAAACUCAAAGGAAUUGACGGGGGCCCGCACAAGCGGAGGAACAUGUGGUUUAAUUCGAUGAUACGCGAGGAACCUUACCCGGGCUCGAACGGCGGAGGGCGGGCGCCGAAAGGCGCCUUCACGCAAGUGUCUCCGUCGAGGUGCUGCAUGGUUGUCGUCAGCUCGUGCCGUGAGGUGUCGGCUUAAGUGCCAUAACGAGCGCAACCCCCGCCGGCAGUUGCUAACGGGCAAUGCCGAGGACUCUGCCGGGACUGCCGGCGCAAGCCGCGAGGAAGGCGGGGAUGACGUCAAAUCAGCACGGCCCUUACGUCCGGGGCGACACACGUGUUACAAUGGCGGGUACAGCGGGAAGCGACCGUGCGAGCGGGAGCGGAGCCCGAAAACCCGUCUCAGUUCGGAUCGGAGUCUGCAACCCGACUCCGUGAAGCUGGAUUCGCUAGUAAUCGCGCAUCAGCCAUGGCGCGGUGAAUACGUUCCCGGGCCUUGUACACACCGCCCGU